RNAcentral lists this ribosomal RNA (253 nucleotides) under uncultured bacterium. RNAcentral's name for it is "partial 16S ribosomal RNA". It matches the Rfam family "Bacterial small subunit ribosomal RNA", at positions 524 to 776 of the family's 1533-position model. The record is from RNAcentral.
GACAGAGGGUGCAAACGUUGUUCGGAAUUACUGGGCGUAAAGCGCGUGUAGGCAGCUAGGAAAGUUGGAUGUGAAAGCCCUGGGCUCAACCUAGGAAGUGCAUUCAAAACUGCCAAGCUUGAGUACUGGAGAGGAAGGCGGAAUUCUCGGUGUAGAGGUGAAAUUCGUAGAUAUCGAGAGGAACACCGGUGGCGAAGGCGGCCUUCUGGACAGUUACUGACGCUGAGACGCGAAAGCGUGGGGAGCAAACAGG